Molecule: non-coding RNA, 832 nt
Organism: Lonchura striata (white-rumped munia)
Lineage: Eukaryota; Metazoa; Chordata; Aves; Passeriformes; Estrildidae
Source: RefSeq, a predicted model, not a curated record
UUCAGAAACUAAACAAAGAAAAAAAUUUCUAGCCCUCAAAAGAUUUCCUUGUCUUUUUCCAUACUCCCUCAAGCUUCCUGGAGACAGAUGAGAGGAGGACCAGGGGAGUCCCUGAAGAAUCCACCAGACUCUGGAUGCCCAGAGGAAGCACUAAGGGAAAGUCAGGAAGGAUCUCAGCAAAUCUCACUGCUGUAUUGGAAUUAGAUUUAAAUCCUUGUUUGAAUCGCAGAAGAGAGAAUUGGUGAUGAAAGAAAUGUUGGCAAUCGUCCUUUUUUGAGCUGCUGGAGUGAAGCAGGAUUGCCCCUGGGAUCCUGGAGAUAAGAACAAGAGAAUAGCACAAUAGACAAGUGAACCAAAGCCCGGCUAAAGCAAGGACUACAUCUCAGAGAAGCACUGAAGAUGUCACUUUUGCCAGGCAAUUCCAGGCUAAUCCAGAACAGCAAAUCAAUACCACAAAGGUUAUGUUAUGCCUCCUUUUCCUGAACAGCAAGCUGUUGAAGUUUUGCUUUUUAUAAAUGGCUCAUUAUAUUAAUAAAGAAGUCACAUAUUGUCUAUCUCUCCGAUCACUGUGCCUUUAGGAUUUUUCUCCCUUCAUGCAGUAUAGUGGCUCUUGAAGCUACUGGUUGGAAGGAAGUUUGUUUUAUGGAAAAAAAUUCCAGAAAUUUACAGAUGAUUUCAUGUAUAUGGCAUCUUUGUUAUGUUAGGAUUGAAAAUACUCCCCCACAGUUACUGAUGAGGGUUCUCAGCUUUUGGAAAUGCCAUUCAGUUUUUCAUUUUUUAUGCUAAGCAAGGAAUGUCAUAGAACAAUAAAAAUUAAGCUGCUUACAGAAAA